This is a long non-coding RNA of Diprion similis, 1301 nucleotides long. RefSeq lists it as uncharacterized. The record is from RefSeq and is a predicted model, not a curated record. The transcript has 5 exons. Lineage: Eukaryota; Metazoa; Arthropoda; Insecta; Hymenoptera; Diprionidae.
UGUGUCCGUGGCUGUGUCGGUGGAGCGUCGUUGCUGAGUCGGUAAAGAAACAGCGCUUAUUAUUUCUACAACUGCAAGCAUGCAGGUGGGGUGUCGGUGUGGUAAUUUAAAACAACUGCCGUGAUUUCCUGAACGAUCAUUGCAGUCAUUACGUGACAUAAUGUGCGUUCGGAUGUAGUGAUUGGGAAGUGAAAAAUCCUCGUACAUUCUGCGAUGUUACAUAUUCGUGUAUUCGCGUAGGUCCGGGACAGAACGUGGCUUUGUAUGUUUAAUCCUCUGUUGACAAACAUCGUGCUGCGUAUUGGAAAGACGGAGGUCACCAAAGUUCGUCACGACGAGUUUUCAGUUAUUUACAGAGGGUUGAAAAACAGUCGGUCAGUGCUCGGUCGCAUAUAGACGAGAUUAAACAUAUUCAAUUCAAUUAUACGAGGUUAACAAUUCGGGAAUGAGCAAAGAACGAAAUUUCAGUGCGGCGUGGUGAAAAAAUUUCUAUUUAAAACAAUUGAAAAGCGAUAUUCAAAUUGGUUGUUAGUGGUUUACUAUUCCGUGUCAAGUUCGGUAUAUUUACGUAUAAAAAGGUAUAAUUACGCAACGUGGCAUGUUCCUGAUAAUUUUAGCUGUAUAAUUACGCAAAUCUGAUCCUCGACUGUUAUCUAAUGGAUAUUAUUUUGUAUAGUUUUGCAACUAGAAGUACAACGAACGUGCCAAUUUGCGUAGCUUUACAUUUUUUUUCAUAAAUUCAUUGUUCGGGUAUUUAGCUGCCAAUGAAUCCUAGUGUUGUGAGUGCAUCUCUUGAUUGACGCUGGAAGCCUGAAGUUCGCCGGCAACAUCACCGGAAACAUGCAUCACGCGGAUCCGCGAUACCCGAGUCUAGGAUGCUUAGAAAAUCAGAUCGUGUGAAAAUUAAGAACGGUGCACACGCAGCUGACUCCUCGUGCUGAUGGGGUCCAGAACACGCUCCAGAUGCGAGCUCUUGGUUUUUUCAUCAUUUUUCAUCCCCCAAUAAGCCGCACGUCGCUGACAUCCACCACCCUCGUGAGAAAUUUACCAAAUUUUCGCACCAACCGGACCGGACGUUCUUGCAGGCAUACACGAUCAGUUCCUGAUCCUCGGUUGACGAAUUGCCAACUUCCACUGAAUACAUAUGCGACAAAGAAAAAAAUUGGGAUGCACUGCAGUGAUCUUCGGUAAAAUCUUUUUCUCAGCUCCAGUCCGGAAAUCGCCGCUGCUUCGCACAUCUUCUGCACACUUUCAUACGUAGAAAUGAGGAUGCAUCGAAGGCUACCUGCCUGAAGUGCCUG